UUCAGGCGUUUGUAGGGAUGGUAGAUGACUCGGUGUUUUCUAAAAAAAUAUUUUUUUAGAAAACACCGAGUCAUCUACCACCCCUACAAACGCCUGAACCA
This 101-nucleotide microRNA precursor is filed under the name Ixodes scapularis (black-legged tick). Its description in RNAcentral is "microRNA mir-286". Lineage: Eukaryota; Metazoa; Arthropoda; Arachnida; Ixodida; Ixodidae. The record is from RNAcentral.